CCGUCGUCGAAAGGGAAACAGCCCAGAUCGUCGUCUAAGGUCCCCAAGCGUGUGCUAAGUGGGAAAGGAUGUGGAGUCGCAUAGACAGCCAGGAGGUUGGCUCAGAAGCAGCCAUCCUUGAAAGAGUGCGUAACAGCUCACUGGUCUAGUGGUUCCGCGCCGACAAUGUAGCGGGGCUCAAGCACACCACCGAAGACGCGGCAGCAUGCCUUUGGCGUGCUGGGUAGGAGAGCGUCCUGUCAGGGGCGAAGCGGCGGCGCAAGCCGGCCGUGGACUUGGCGGGAGUGAGAAUGCAGACAUGAGUAGCGAAAGCGGGGUGAGGAUCCCCGCCGCUGGAUGACCAAGGGUUCCGGGGCCACGUUCGUCGUCCCCGGGUGAGUCGGGUCCUAAGGCGAGGCCGACAGGCGUAGUCGAAUGGAUGAACGGGUUGAUAUUCCCGUACCGGCAUGAGACCGGCAAAACCGAGGCUUGGAGUACUAACCUCCGCCCCCGGGCUUACCUUUCCUUCGGGAGGGGGAUGCGUGGUGGUGUUGGGACCGGUCCUUGUAGUAGGUCAGCGCAGGAGUGACGCAGGAGGGUAGCCGGCCGCGGAGGUGGUUUUCCGUGGUCAAGCACGCGGCCCGUCCCCCAGGCAAAUCCGGGGGGCGCGAGGGUGAGGUGCGAUGAUGGGCGCCGUUGGGCGCGAAUCCGGUGAUCCCAUGCUGCCGAGAAAAGCUUCGGCGUGAGGGCUUGUGCCGCCCGUACCCCAAACCGACACUGGUGGUCAGGUAGAGAAUACCAAAGCGAUCGAGCGAAUCCUGGUCAAGGAACUCGGCAAAUUACUCCCGUGCCUUCGGUAUAAGGGAGGCCCCUGAUGGUGAACCGGCUUGCCCGGGGAGCUGUUGGGGGUGGCACAGACCAGGGGGUAGCGACUGUUUACCAAAAACACAGGAGCGUGCGAAGGCGCAAGCCGCUGUAUACGCUCUGACGCCUGCCCGGUGCCGGAAGGUUAAGAGGAUCCGUCAGCCCCUUUGUUGGGGUGAAGCGGUGAAUUCAAGCCCCGGUAAACGGCGGUGGUAACUAUAACCAUCCUAAGGUAGCGAAAUUCCUUGUCGGGUAAGUUCCGACCUGCACGAAUGGCGUAACGACUUCCCCACUGUCUCGACCAGGAGCUCGGCGAAAUUGCAGUACGAGUAAAGAUGCUCGUUAAGCGCAGAAGGACGAAAAGACCCCGGGACCUUUACUAUACCUUGGUAUUGGCAUUAGGCGCGGAUUGUGUAGCAUAGGCGGGAGGCUUCGAAGCGGGUGCGCCAGCAUCCGUGGAGCCGCAAGGUGAAAUACCGCUCUGUUCUCGUUUGAUGUCUCACCUCGACCAGUCAUCCUGGUCAGGGACAGUGCCUGGCGGGUAGUUUAACUGGGGCGGUUGCCUCCCAAAGAGUAACGGAGGCGCUCAAAGGUUCCCUCAGCCCGGUUGGCAAUCGGGUGUUGAGUGUAAUCGCACAAGGGAGCUUGACUGCGAGACCGACGGGUCGAGCAGGGACGAAAGUCGGAGAUAGUGAUCCGGUGCCGGCGCACGGGCGCGGCAUCGCUCAACGGAUAAAAGGUACCCCGGGGAUAACAGGCUGAUCAUUCCCAAGAGUCCAUAUCGACGGGAUGGUUUGGCACCUCGAUGUCGGCUCGUCGCAUCCUGGGGCUGGAGCAGGUCCCAAGGGUUCGGCUGUUCGCCGAUUAAAGCGGCACGCGAGCUGGGUUCAGAACGUCGUGAGACAGUUUGGUCUCUAUCCUCUGCGCUCGUUGGAAUCUUGAGGAGACCUGCCCAUAGUACGAGAGGACCUGGGUGGACGAACCUCUGGUAUGCCGGUCGUCACGCCAGUGGCGCGGCCGGUUGGCUACGUUCGGAAGGGAUAACCGCUGAAAGCAUCUAAGCGGGAAGCCUCCUCCAAGAUCAGGAUUCCGUGGCACCCUCGAGUGCCUGUAGUCCCCAUGCAGAACACGUGGUUGAUAGGCCGGACGUGGAAGCCCCGCGAGGGGUGGAGCUGACCGGUACUAACGGACGAAAGGCAAUCACG
RNAcentral lists this ribosomal RNA (2048 nucleotides) under Bifidobacterium scardovii. Its description in RNAcentral is "bacterial LSU rRNA". It matches the Rfam family "Bacterial large subunit ribosomal RNA", at positions 1005 to 2925 of the family's 2925-position model. The record is from RNAcentral. Lineage: Bacteria; Bacillati; Actinomycetota; Actinomycetes; Bifidobacteriales; Bifidobacteriaceae.